GAAUUCAAUCGGUUGUCUUAUGAUUUUUCACUUCAAUGGCAGGGCUUUCAAAACCCUAAAUUCGCAGAAAAUCUCAAAUCAAUAAACCCUAAAUUCAAAGGUGACAAAGUUGUGAUGAAAGUAGCAGCCCUUUUUGACGAAUGAGAAUGCUAUUUAUUCAAUCAUUGAAAAUUACAGUUUUUUUACACUUUUGAGCCGGUGGAUCAAUCUGGUGAUCAAAUUUCACAUUUAGCUAUCGAUAUUGGAGCAGCACCAUCAACUCUUUUGUUAAGGAAAAGAAGGUGGUCCAGAUGUCACUGAUUGAGCAGUAUAUGCAAACAUCAACCUACAAGACAAGGCGACCUAAUAACAAACAGAAUUGAGUAUUAGUAUGUGUAUGUGCGACAUGUACGGGUGAUGUAUUCUACUACAAGAAGCAAAGGAAAAACAAGAAAGUGCAAGCUAAAGGAAAUGGAGAUGGAGGAGAAAACACGAAGAAGAAGUUAUUUUAGAUGGAUGUGUAAUGCUUCAUUAGUUCUUUUCGAUUUCUCAUUGUAUCUUGCUCUUAGCGUAAUAUAGAUGCUUAUGAGGUCUCGGGUUCAAUUUCCAGCAGAGAUAAAAACAUUAGGUAAUUUCUUCCCAUCUGUUCUAGCCUUAGGACAAAGUUACCAGGUACUUGAUGGUGGUAGGAGGUAGCAGGUAUCCCGUGGAAUUAGUCAAGGUAUGCGCAUGGACACCACGGUCAACAAAAAAAUAUACAUGCUAUAAAUUUCAAAGAAUUUGAUGUGAUGAAGAACCUAAUUAGGCUACCUAUUGUGUUAGAAUUGUUUUGGCAUGCAUAUGAAACUAUAGUUCUACUAUUAAAAGGCAACUCGCAAUUGAAAUCACUUAUAUUUCAUAAAUUUCUAAAUAAAAUUCUUGACUACUAAUUUAACUAUGUGGGAAAACUGUGAAGAUGAAUAUGUAUUUAUCAGGUAUGAAUUUGUAAUGCUAAGCCUGUAAUCACACAAGUUAAUGCAAAAUAAUUUAUUUGUUCGACUUUGAACUUACUGGAAAUCAAUAGUUUCUCCAGCCUUCAUUGAAUUUCUGCAGCCACUUAUUUGUAGAAAUUAUAAUUUCAACUUUUUCCUUGGGUUAAUAGUUUUAUUAACUUAAGAAAUUCCUGACUUUUGCUCUUUAUGUUCACAUGGUUUUUGCAGGGCGUGCUUUACUAUCUACAUAAGAUGUUUCAGCCUUCAGGUAAAAAAAAAAAAAAUUAUUAUUACUGUUUUGUUUAAAAGUUUGGUAUUUCCGCUGUGCAAGGGUACUUCAUGAGGUUUUCUGAGAACGAUAUCAUUUUCAGUUUUACUCUAUUUCAUGUUGUCGCGUGUCAGUAUGAGCUUAUUGUUUUAUUCUUCUAGGUGGUCUUCAUAAAAAAAAUGUGAAUUUCCAUGGAUAAAGCAAGAAUUUUCAGUCGAUGGCUAAUUGCCAAACAUGUUAUGAAGCUACAUAUGGAAAAUUCUGGUGAUUUCUUAUUAUAUUGAAACAAAAGAGAGCACAUUGAUUUGGCUUCAUUAGAUGAUAGCUUGGUUUUGUUUCUAGCCAAGCAAAGGAGAUGUUGGACCAACUUUGAAGAGUGCUGGAAACAUAAUCUGUUACAUUGAGAGCGGACAAUUUAUUGCAGAAGUUAAAAGCUAAGAUAUGUCAUAUAAUGAUUCUGGCAUUUUCACCAAUUUUCGUUAAUGUGGCUUAGUGUACUCCAUCCAUUGUCUGCUAAAACUAAUAAUUUGUUCCUCCUUCUUUCUUCAUUCCCUUUGUUGAAGGGGAGAGAUCAUAAGUUUUAUUCAAGAGUUUAGAAGUUUGGGGUUCUUAAAUUUGAAACAAGGGUAUGUAAAGUUUUUCUGAAAAUGAUAUAAUAGCUUCUCAUAUAAUAACUGCUCUUCGAAAGGUCGGUCAAAGGUAGGCUCUCAAAGCUCAUUAUUUGAGUGGGCUGUUCACCUUGAAAACCAUGCUCUGCUACACAGUCUAAAGUUUGCUUUUAACUACAACCUGUCCUCUCGAAAGACUCCUGUACUAUUGAAAUACAUGUGUACUGUAUUUACCAUCUAAACUAUUGAAACCUGGAUCUAUUACUCUUUCAUAGUUUUCUCAUAAUUAAAUGAGAGUUGGGAUUAUGGCUCGAAAGAUUUUGCUUCCUGCUAAGUCAUGCAACAAAGAUUCUUCGCAGAUACAUUGAGGGAAUUAUUUUGAAGAAGAAUGUGAAUUUCUAAUUUAUGGAUGAGUGUGUCUCUAACCCUAAUUGAAGAUACAUCUGAUUAUACCAUUCAAUUGUUCUCUCAUGGAACCUGGCAGGAGAUCAAUUUUCCUACUACCCUUAAGGUGAGUUCUUUGUUUUAUUUUACUUUUUAGUUGGACCUACUCUGAGUUCAAUUUUACCAACACGUUUUGUUCACCUUGAAUAGCGUAGCUCGAGUGUAUACCUUCAUCUGAGGUAAGUGAAUUUCCUUCAAAUGGAUAAUGAAUCUUCAUAUGGAAAUUUCAAGCUCAUGAAUGUUGGUUAUAUGGAAUUUGACAGUUUUCAGAGCUUUAUUCUCUGUGUAGCUUUCGACGAUCACGUUAUGCAUGUCCAUGUGAAUAUAAUUUACCAAUGCCUCCAUUAUAUUUGACUUAUUUCCUAUAUGCUGUCUCAACUCUAUUUUGGUCGAAGUGGAGAUUUUUGUGAUAACUGGUAUGUGAUUUGGUGAUAUAACAGAUAUAUAGAUGAGAGAAAUCAGACAUGGCUGACUAAUAUUAGGCGGAGACUUUAUGAAUCAAGCUAACUAAUGGAAGAAGAGAUAAAUAGGAGAUUAUAUAAGAGUGAUAGGUUUUUUCUCUCCCAUUGAUUCUUAAUUAGCCAUUCAUUUUACCAGAGUUUUUCUGUUAUUUUGUUUCAGUUGUGCACUAUAUGGGGCAUGAUGAACAAGUGAAAUUCUCAAUUAGCUGAGACUGUUACAUCUAUUAGAUGUUCAGAACCAGUUUGGACCAAAGAAAGGAAAGGACAAGCGGUCAUGUAAAUUGAAAUGUAGGAGCUCUUCCAGCUGCGAAAAGUUGUGAUCAAGAAGAUGGAUAUGCAAGCAACAAAAAGGUUUCUUGCUGAAUUGAAGAUUUUGACGCAUGUACAUCUUGAUCUUGAUUUUGCAUUACUCAAUAUGUCAAUCCGUUCAGUGGUCUGAGCCAUUUAGCUAGCUAACGUGAUACUUUUCCCUAUGAAAGUCAAGAAUGGUGAUUUAGUUCUGCUGUACUUGAGAUUUAUGGAGAAUAAGAGUUAAUAUUUCACAUGUUGAAAUAUUUUCAGUACGUUUGAUAGGAUAUUGUGCUGAAGGAUCUUUGUUCUUAAUAUACGAAUACGUUGAAAAUGUGUAAAUUUUCUAAGAUUCGUUGCUCAAUUUACUGCAUUCUCUGCACCUAAAAUGAAGAGACUUGCGAAGGCUAAUCCGGGUUGGUUGGUCCGGGAAGUCAAGGGAAAGGCAGAUCGUGUACAAUGUCAAUCCUAUAUUUGAUGUCGAUUCAUCCACACUUCUAUUCUCAGUAAAGGAAGGCUAAUUGCUUGCUGGUUGGGAGCUGUAUGAGCAGUAAUGUGCACGUAUGAUUCCGUGAGAAAGUGACAAAAAACAUGGAGAAGAAUCUCCAAGUUAAAAUCAGUUGUAAUCUUUUUUUUAGUAAUUUGGAUUCUGUACCCAGAUCUGUUGAGUUAAGCAAACACGCAGCGGUCAAGGAUGUUUCCCAUCCUUAUACAGGAUCUAAUAUAAUUAGCUAUCAAUGGAUAAAAUGUAUCUAUUGUAUCUGUUUCUACUGUCAA
Molecule: long non-coding RNA, 3796 nt
Organism: Lycium barbarum (goji berry)
Lineage: Eukaryota; Viridiplantae; Streptophyta; Magnoliopsida; Solanales; Solanaceae
Exons: 5
Source: RefSeq, a predicted model, not a curated record